RNAcentral lists this ribosomal RNA (253 nucleotides) under uncultured bacterium. Its description in RNAcentral is "partial 16S ribosomal RNA". It matches the Rfam family "Bacterial small subunit ribosomal RNA", at positions 524 to 776 of the family's 1533-position model. The record is from RNAcentral.
UACGGGGGGGGCAAGCGUUGUUCGGAAUUACUGGGCGUAAAGAGCGCGCAGGCGGUCGUUCAAGUCGAGUGUGAAAGCCCCCGGCUCAACUGGGGAGGGUCACUCGAUACUGAUCGACUUGAAGGCAGGAGAGGGAAGCGGAAUUCCCGGUGUAGUGGUGAAAUGCGUAGAUAUCGGGAGGAACACCAGUGGCGAAGGCGGCUUCCUGGCCUGUUCUUGACGCUGAGGCGCGAAAGCUAGGGGAGCAAACGGG